GUCGAUUUUGAUUUAUAUGACAUCCGAUAAAAUUGGAACGAUACAGAGAAGAUUAGCAUGGCCCCUGCGCAAGGAUAAUCCGCACAAAUCGAGAAUUGGUCAAAAGAAAA
RNAcentral lists this small nuclear RNA (110 nucleotides) under Solanum lycopersicum (tomato). RNAcentral also lists the same sequence under 1 other name. Lineage: Eukaryota; Viridiplantae; Streptophyta; Magnoliopsida; Solanales; Solanaceae. The record is from RNAcentral.